GCAGCACGGGGGCAACCCUGGUGGCGAGUGGCGAACGGGUGAGUAACAUAUCGGAACGUGCCCUGGAGUGGGGGAUAACUAGUCGAAAGAUUAGCUAAUACCGCAUACGAUCUACGGAUGAAAGUGGGGGAUCGCAAGACCUCAUGCUCGUGGAGCGGCCGAUAUCUGAUUAGCUAGUUGGUGGGGUAAAGGCCUACCAAGGCAUCGAUCAGUAGCUGGUCUGAGAGGACGACCAGCCACACUGGGACUGAGACACGGCCCAGACUCCUACGGGAGGCAGCAGUGGGGAAUUUUGGACAAUGGGCGCAAGCCUGAUCCAGCAAUGCCGCGUGAGUGAAGAAGGCCUUCGGGUUGUAAAGCUCUUUUGUCAGGGAAGAAACGGUUCGGGUUAAUACCUUGGGCUAAUGACGGUACCUGAAGAAUAAGCACCGGCUAACUACGUGCCAGCAGCCGCGGUAAUACGUAGGGUGCAAGCGUUAAUCGGAAUUACUGGGCGUAAAGCGUGCGCAGGCGGUUGUGCAAGACAGAUGUGAAAUCCCCGGGCUCAACCUGGGAAUUGCAUUUGUGACUGUACGGCUAGAGUGUGUCAGAGGGGGGUAGAAUUCCACGUGUAGCAGUGAAAUGCGUAGAGAUGUGGAGGAAUACCGAUGGCGAAGGCAGCCCCCUGGGAUAACACUGACGCUCAUGCACGAAAGCGUGGGGAGCAAACAGGAUUAGAUACCCUGNNAGUCCACGCCCUAAACGAUGUCUACUAGUUGUCGGGUCUUUAUUGACUUNGUAACGCAGCUAACGCGUGAAGUAGACCGCCUGGGGAGUACGGUCGCAAGAUUAAAACUCAAAGGAAUUGACGGGGACCCGCACAAGCGNGGNNGAUGUGGAUUNAUUCGAUGCAACGCGAAAANCUUACCUACCC
RNAcentral lists this ribosomal RNA (913 nucleotides) under uncultured bacterium. RNAcentral's name for it is "bacterial SSU rRNA". It matches the Rfam family "Bacterial small subunit ribosomal RNA", at positions 69 to 980 of the family's 1533-position model. The record is from RNAcentral.